CAGUAGCCGCGGUAAUACGAAGGGUGCAAGCGUUAAUCGGAAUUACUGGGCGUAAAGCGUGCGUAGGCGGUGAGUUAAGUCUGCUGUGAAAUCCCCGGGCUCAACCUGGGAAUGGCAGUGGAUACUGGCUCGCUAGAGUGUGUCAGAGGAUGGUGGGAUUCCCGGUGUAGCGGUGAAAUGCGUAGAGAUCGGGAGGAACAUCAGUGGCGAAGGCGGCCAUCUGGGACAACACUGACGCUGAGGCACGAAAGCGUGGGGAGCAAACAGGAUUAGAUACCCCCGUAGUCCCUGUCUCUUAUAC
RNAcentral lists this ribosomal RNA (301 nucleotides) under uncultured bacterium. RNAcentral's name for it is "partial 16S ribosomal RNA". It matches the Rfam family "Bacterial small subunit ribosomal RNA", at positions 509 to 807 of the family's 1533-position model. The record is from RNAcentral.